This is a small nucleolar RNA of Suncus etruscus (white-toothed pygmy shrew), 140 nucleotides long. RefSeq annotates it as small nucleolar RNA SNORA48. The transcript has a single exon. The record is from RefSeq and is a predicted model, not a curated record. Lineage: Eukaryota; Metazoa; Chordata; Mammalia; Eulipotyphla; Soricidae.
UAUACCCUGGCAAUAGGCAAAGAGAAACUUUAUUGGUAGUAUUCUUAUAUCAGUCAGGGGACAAAGCAGAUGAUGUUUUGUUCAUCCUAUUUUGAUUCCUGGGUUGGUGGCCAGAGCUAUUUCAUGCUUGGGGCACAUAC